GGAGGGAUGGCAGAGUGGACGAUUGCGACGGUCUUGAAAACCGUAGUGGGUGCAAGCUCACCGAGGGUUCGAAUCCCUCUCCCUCCG
Molecule: transfer RNA, 87 nt
Filed under: Chloroflexota bacterium
Lineage: Bacteria; Bacillati; Chloroflexota
Also listed under: 2 other names
Description: tRNA-Ser
Rfam family: tRNA
About the family: Transfer RNA (tRNA) molecules are approximately 80 nucleotides in length.
Source: RNAcentral